RNAcentral lists this transfer RNA (71 nucleotides) under Azospirillum sp. TSO35-2. RNAcentral describes it as "tRNA-Asp". It matches the Rfam family "tRNA". Rfam says of the family: Transfer RNA (tRNA) molecules are approximately 80 nucleotides in length. Lineage: Bacteria; Pseudomonadati; Pseudomonadota; Alphaproteobacteria; Rhodospirillales; Azospirillaceae. The record is from RNAcentral.
GCGGGUGUAGCUCAGUUGGUUAGAGCGCCGGCCUGUCACGCCGGAGGCCGCGGGUUCAAGUCCCGUCACUC